Numida meleagris (helmeted guineafowl) is the source of this 3027-nucleotide long non-coding RNA. The record is from Ensembl. NCBI's taxonomy places the organism in Eukaryota, Metazoa, Chordata, Aves, Galliformes, Numididae.
AUGUUCUGCAAAGCCCGUCCCAGCGGCUUGAAGAGCUGAGAUGAGCCCGUGCCUGUGCUGAAGACCAGGUGCAGGUGCUUCCUGACACCUCCAGGAGGAGCCUACUUGGAGGCCGUUACAGACAGUUGGUGCCAGAGCAUUACAUCAUUCCAACCGGAAUCUCACCUCCUUGCUUGCUGUUGUGCUGUGUGGCUUACCUGGUAGUGGGGAGACAAAAGGAGAGGAAGAAAACACACUGCAGGUUACGAAAUAGGAGACCAAGUGAGUUAGCCACAAGAAAAUUCAAAUGCUCAAUGGAUGACAAAGCAAGGCUGAAGUAUGGGAGUGUGAAGAGUUUGUUUCCUGACCAGCUUCAUUCAGGUACUCCCAGCUCUGAUAAAUGUACCUUUAGUGUCAGGAGCAGAGAUUAAAGGCAACAGGAGCCUGGCCAAGGUCACAAGUCCUUACAGUAAAUAAGUGGUCUGUUUAAGUAAACUUAUUAAAUUGUGGCCACAGAAGAACAGAGACCAGACAGAGUUAGCAACUCUAAUGUUCCAAUUCUAAGUUUGCUAUUAAGUGUGCAGCUUUAUUGUGCAGCUUUUUUCUUAUCCAUAAAUCAGAGUCCUGCUAUUUAGUUAUCAAUUACUAAGAGUUUUAAUGAGGAUAAAAUAGUAAAUACUUUAAUGUAUUACUAUGGCAUAACAAAGCCAAGAGCUUAACCUCAUAUUCCCUACAGAAAUGAUGCAACCUAACGUGCAGUGCCCUGCUGCAUAACAGAGUGGUCAAAUCAAGAGGAUCACUUAGGUUGCCGUGCUGUCUUGUCAGAAUUAAAUAAUGUUAUUUCAUAUGGCAGUACUGCUGCAAGCCUUACGUUUUGUGCUACACACUGACCAGAAACAAACCUCCUCCCAGGUUUCCCAAUCCUUUGCUGAUUUUCGAGUUCAUGGAAUGAUGUAACACAACACGUGUGUGUGAUGAUUAUGUGUAUUUGGUCCUUUUGAGUUCUUGUGGUUGUCUUUUAGAUUUAUGUAAUACGUUGUGUUUUUUUUUUUUUAACCCGUGACCUUGAAAUUAUGAACAAUCUCCACGUUAGUAUGACAGAGGUACAAAUGGCAUUAUUAUAUAGCUUUGGUCUUGUUUGAAUGUUAUUAAUAUGCAAGGGUAAAAUCAAUUAGUAAAACACCAUUUUUGAAAUGUAAUUUAUUAACGCUGUGUAAGAGUACUCUUCGGUUGACUAGCUUUAAGACAGAGAUAAUAUAAUAGCAUUGUGGCUACUUCAGUCAGGGCUUGCUUCUUCUCUCCUUGGACUAAAAGGCAACAUUUUCUCAUUAACUACAACAUGAACAGAAUUGGACUGUGGUAAGCAGCUGUUUUGGUUCAGUAAUCACCCAUUGUUUCAUUCCCACAUUUUUAUCACCAUCUCAGUGGGAAGACUAAAUUUAAGUAGGAUGCUUUUAUAGAUAGUAUAGGUUUUUAAUAUCAAAGUAUGUUAAUGAGAAAGAAGAGUGGUUGGACCCAAAUUAUGGCAUCUAAGGAGUACAGUAAACAUUAUAACCUAAUUUAAAAUACCCUAGAGAUGAUUCAGUUUCCCUGGUCUAUUAGCAUCCAUUCAUGUCUGUUAUCAUUAAUAAUGAAUUGUAUGACUAAACCAGUGGAGAAAAAAAGUAAGAAUCUGAUGCCAUUUUUCCUUCAUCAUGAAAACUAGGAAAAGUAGAUGGGAUUUUUUAAAGACUAUAUUAAUAGCUACAGCUUUCAUAUAAACAACUGUGGAUCUCUAACAGGCUCUUUACAGGGGAAGUAGAAGAUAUUCUUGGCCAGAACUACCACUUAAAAUUGCUUGUGCAACAGGAAUGAUGAAAAAUCGUUGGCUUGAGGCUCAGCCAUGGUUAUGAAAAUUAGUUGACCUUGAUUUUUUGGGCCAGUGUUUUAAAUUUUUGUGAUUCAGAUGGUGUGAAAAAUCCCAGUUACUUGUAGUAGUAAAGGACAAGAUCAGUUCAGGUGGCUUCUGGGUGUGCAAUCUAGUGUAACCAAGGAGAAGAGCACUGAAAGGAAAUAUGGUUCUUUCCUGUGGCAUUAUUGUAGUUUAUUUAUAUAUUUAUGCUGGCGUAAUGAAAGCAAUAACAUUUUUACUGUGAACAGUAACUUGGGAUGCCAAGAUACCAACCCAGGUUAGGGUUAUAUUUAUGUUUAUAAUAUAUAGACUGAAAAAAAAGAAGUAUUACCUCUUGGAAUAAUGUUUGGGUUAAAGAUGGUUUGGUAUCUUUUACACAAUCUUGCCUGCAUGCCUCUCUAAGUAGAUCAAAUAUUUAUCUGUAAUACUCCUAGAAGGCCUAGGUACACUUUCUUGUGGAAUAUUAUGGGGGGAAAAAAAGGAUACAUGCAGCCUCCACAGGUUCAUCCAGUUACCUGUCCUCAGCAUGGGCACUAGGAUAUCAAUGUGGAUCCAUUGCGCUGGGGCCUUUCUCAGACCUUGUAAGGCAGGGUGAACUUCAUCCUUGCAAGAUUAAGAACCGAAACAGAUUCCCUAGGUAGAGAAAAUUAACUUAAUGGUUAUAAAGACGUCAGACUGAUGACACCAGAGAAUGAAGUUCAGAAUGUCCUCCUCUGCCUUGCCAGAAUAAUUAGAGAACAGUUCAUUCACAUCCUCUGUUGAUUUUGCAAAAAUACCAGUUGUGUGACUGGAUUUCUGCAAUAGAGAAGCCCACCAAUUCUUCACACAGGUUACCUAAAAGCCAGUGUGUGGUAACAUCGUCAAUACAGACUUUGUUUGACUUUUGGCUAAAGAAGGUAGUUGCUACUGGCUCCAUGUUUCAUUUCCUAAAUGUAAAGUUAUAGGAAAUUUUUGUGCCUACUUUUUUUGCUGGCUUUGAUUCUUUGCCCUUUACUGCUAAAGAUUUUUAGUUCACCUUCAAAGCGACAAGCUCAGACAUGAACAUCUUGACUUUUAUCAGUUUAGGUCAAAUCAUGAGCAGAUUUUUUUUGAUUAAAAAUGCUCAGUUUUCCAUCCUUCUGCUCCAUAUAAAUAAAAUUGCCUGAAAAUAUCUGCCA